UACGGAGGAUCCAAGCGUUAUCCGGAUUUAUUGGGUUUAAAGGGUGCGUAGGUGGCCUGUUAAGUCAGGGGUGAAAGACGGUAGCUUAACUAUCGCAGUGCCUUUGAUACUGAUGGGCUUGAAUACACUUGAGGUAGGUGGAAUGUGACAAGUAGCGGUGAAAUGCAUAGAUAUGUCACAGAACACCAACUGCGAAGGCAGCUUACUAAAGUGUUAUUGACACUGAGGCACGAAAGCGUGGGGAUCAAACAG
This 252-nucleotide ribosomal RNA is filed under the name uncultured bacterium. RNAcentral's name for it is "partial 16S ribosomal RNA". It matches the Rfam family "Bacterial small subunit ribosomal RNA", at positions 524 to 775 of the family's 1533-position model. The record is from RNAcentral.